UACGAAGGGGGCUAGCGUUGCUCGGAAUCACUGGGCGUAAAGCGCACGUAGGCGGGUUGCUAAGUCAGGGGUGAAAUCCUGGAGCUCAACUCCAGAACUGCCUUUGAUACUGAGAAGCUUGAGUCCGGGAGAGGUGAGUGGAACUGCGAGUGUAGAGGUGAAAUUCGUAGAUAUUCGCAAGAACACCAGUGGCGAAGGCGGCUCACUGGCCCGGUACUGACGCUGAGGUGCGAAAGCUAGGGGAGCAAACGGG
Molecule: ribosomal RNA, 253 nt
Filed under: uncultured bacterium
Lineage: Bacteria
Description: partial 16S ribosomal RNA
Rfam family: Bacterial small subunit ribosomal RNA
Source: RNAcentral